Molecule: long non-coding RNA, 216 nt
Filed under: Carica papaya (papaya)
Lineage: Eukaryota; Viridiplantae; Streptophyta; Magnoliopsida; Brassicales; Caricaceae
Description: long non-coding RNA (CPAP_LNC015430)
Source: RNAcentral
GUAACGACCCCGGAAAUAUUAAAAUGAAAUGAGUAUUUAAAUAUAUCAAAUGCGGAAGCGAGAUCAAAAUUUCAAUUAACAUCCCUUACACGAAAAACCAAACAAACGUACUUAAAAUAUAAAAGGUUAAACUAACUAAGAGAGGAACUCGAAAAUAAGACUAUGCGUAUGUCUACAGAGUCUCUAGGCAUCCCCUUCGUCGUCCUCCUGCGGAAC